UCCAAUCACGUUGUAGCCUGCGACAGAUCAAUAGAUGUUUCUAUGGUAACAAGGUUGGUGUCGUAGUGUGUGUCUUGACAGGUGCGUGACAGACUGACACUUCAACCUCACAGCAUGUACGCGAAAGGAAAAGGCUCAACGGUACCAUCCGAUGCUCAAGCGAGAGAAAAGUUAGCCUUGUACGUUUAUGAAUAUCUACUGCAUGUAGGAGCUCAGAAGGCAGCACAAACGUUCCUGUCUGAGAUAAGAUGGGAAAAAAACAUAACAUUAGGGGAGCCUCCAGGAUUUUUACACUCAUGGUGGUG
Limulus polyphemus (Atlantic horseshoe crab) is the source of this 305-nucleotide long non-coding RNA. RefSeq lists it as uncharacterized. Lineage: Eukaryota; Metazoa; Arthropoda; Merostomata; Xiphosura; Limulidae. The record is from RefSeq and is a predicted model, not a curated record. The transcript is spliced from 3 exons.